RNAcentral lists this ribosomal RNA (433 nucleotides) under uncultured bacterium. RNAcentral's name for it is "partial 16S ribosomal RNA". It matches the Rfam family "Bacterial small subunit ribosomal RNA", at positions 29 to 507 of the family's 1533-position model. The record is from RNAcentral.
AAUGAACGCUGGCGGCAUGCCUAACACAUGCAAGUCGAACGAAGGCUUCGGCCUUAGUGGCGCACGGGUGCGUAACGCGUGGGAAUCUGCCCCUUGGUUCGGAAUAACAGUUAGAAAUGACUGCUAAUACCGGAUGAUGACGUAAGUCCAAAGAUUUAUCGCCGAGGGAUGAGCCCGCGUAGGAUUAGCUAGUUGGUGUGGUAAGAGCGCACCAAGGCGACGAUCCUUAGCUGGUCUGAGAGGAUGAUCAGCCACACUGGGACUGAGACACGGCCCAGACUCCUACGGGAGGCAGCAGUGGGGAAUAUUGGGCAAUGGGCGAAAGCCUGAUCCAGCAAUGCCGCGUGAGUGAUGAAGGCCUUAGGGUUGUAAAGCUCUUUUACCCGGGAUGAUAAUGACAGUACCGGGAGAAUAAGCUCCGGCUAACUCCGUG